This 530-nucleotide ribosomal RNA is filed under the name uncultured Methanosarcina sp. RNAcentral's name for it is "bacterial SSU rRNA". It matches the Rfam family "Archaeal small subunit ribosomal RNA", at positions 275 to 805 of the family's 1478-position model. Lineage: Archaea; Methanobacteriati; Methanobacteriota; Methanomicrobia; Methanosarcinales; Methanosarcinaceae. The record is from RNAcentral.
UGUGAGAGCAAGAGCCCGGAGAUGGAUUCUGAGACAUGAAUCCAGGCCCUACGGGGCGCAGCAGGCGCGAAAACUUUACAAUGCGGGAAACCGUGAUAAGGGGACACCGAGUGCCAGCGUCAUACGCUGGCUGUCCAGGUGUGUAAAAUACACCUGUUAGCAAGGGCCGGGCAAGACCGGUGCCAGCCGCCGCGGUAACACCGGCGGCCCGAGUGGUGAUCGUGAUUAUUGGGUCUAAAGGGUCCGUAGCCGGUUUGGUCAGUCCUCCGGGAAAUCUGAUAGCUCAACUAUUAGGCUUUCGGGGGAUACUGCCAGGCUUGGAACCGGGAGAGGUAAGAGGUACUACAGGGGUAGGAGUGAAAUCUUGUAAUCCCUGUGGGACCACCUGUGGCGAAGGCGUCUUACCAGAACGGGUUCGACGGUGAGGGACGAAAGCUGGGGGCACGAACCGGAUUAGAUACCCGGGUAGUCCCAGCCGUAAACGAUGCUCGCUAGGUGUCAGGCAUGGCGCGACCGUGUCUGGUGCCGCA